UACGUAGGUGGCGAGCGUUAUCCGGAUUUACUGGGUGUAAAGGGCGUGUAGGCGGUCUUGUAAGUCAAAUGUGAAAUCUCCCGGCUCAACUGGGAGUGUGCAUCUGAAACUAUGGGACUUGAGUACUGGAGGGGAAAGCGGAAUUCCUAGUGUAGCGGUAAAAUGCGUAGAGAUUAGGAGGAACACCGGUGGCGAAGGCGGCUUUCUGGACAGUAACUGACGCUGAGGCGCGAAAGCGUGGGGAGAAAACAGG
Molecule: ribosomal RNA, 253 nt
Filed under: uncultured Clostridia bacterium
Lineage: Bacteria; Bacillati; Bacillota; Clostridia
Description: partial 16S ribosomal RNA
Rfam family: Bacterial small subunit ribosomal RNA
Source: RNAcentral